This 253-nucleotide ribosomal RNA is filed under the name uncultured bacterium. RNAcentral describes it as "partial 16S ribosomal RNA". It matches the Rfam family "Bacterial small subunit ribosomal RNA", at positions 524 to 776 of the family's 1533-position model. The record is from RNAcentral.
UACGUAGGAUCCGAGCGUUGUCCGGAAUCACUGGGUGUAAAGGGUGCGCAGGCGGAUUUGAACGUCAGAGGUUAAAUGUCACCGCUUAACGGUGAACCUGCCUUUGAAACGGCAAGUCUUGAGUAUGAGAGAGGUAAGUAGAAUUCCUGGUGUAGCGGUGAAAUGCGUAGAUAUCAGGAGGAAUACCAGUGGCGAAGGCGGCUUACUGGCUCAUAACUGACGCUCAGGCACGAAAGCGCGGGGAGCAAACAGG